GGGGAGAGUUGGCUCCGGAAUUCUCUCCUGAGUAACAAAGUCUGAGAAGAGGCAGCAGAGAUACAGAGAAGCCAGUGGGAUACAGCAAGCUCUGGUGCUGAACCCUGAUAAUGGGGCGGGACCUGGACUUCCAAGGAGAAAGCCCUGGAUGGUGAGGGAGCAAUGUUGGUCGUGAGGUAUUGCUACAAUGCAAUACCACUUCAUGAACGUCGUGACAACACAACACCAUUCUCUCAUAUGCCGAGGGACUGAGAAUCAUUUCUGCAGACUAGAAAUGAAGUAGGAAUUUUGAGAAGCCAGCUCAGGAGAAUGCAUCAUUGCACCAGCUUUCCAACCACUGUCCCAGCAGCUAACAUGUCCGUUGUUCUUCCUUUUGUUUGGCUCGUCUUACCUUUCUAACCUGCCUUUUACUGGUUACCAGUAUUUUAAAGGAGGAAGGAAAGCAACAAUUAUUGAAACUUUAAAGUUUCCACAGAACUCAUUAACAAGCAAGGGUGACCAGAUGAGAUGAAGAAAAUAUCAGGGGGAAGGGAGGGUUCCGCCAGCGGAGCAAGAAGAAGAAGAAAAAAGAGUGCUGCUGGCAGAGCAAGAAAAACAACAACAACAACAAAACAGUGCUGCCAGCAGAGUGAAAUAUCGGGAUGUGAUGAUCUUUGGUCGGGAUGUGGGACAACCACCCAAAUAUCAGGACACUCCCUAUAACAAGCAGCCAAGAGGGGGCACCAGCGUAAAAAGAUUACAUACAAAUGGGAUUCAGUUUGCCAAAAGUAAUUAAUACAUCAAGUAAACUAGAGGCGGCUAUUGCUGUUGGUAAUAAUUUCACUCUAAAACCUCUCGCCGCUUAACCCUGUAGACAAGCUUUCUAUUCUUCAACAACAUGGUAGUGGCAACAUAAUUUUCUCCACAAUACAUCACCACUGUGCCACCAUUUUGACCUAGAGAUAUAACCCUUCUUGAGAAAAAAUGAACAUAUGCACGUUCAAUCCUUGGCCUCUGAGUUAAGCCUACCAGGUAAGGUACCGGUUAAUGGCAACAGCAAUGGUAUUUUUGUAAGAUGUCUAUAAUACUUAGAAAUUGACUCAUUUCAUGCAGGCCACCAAAUAGACAUCAGAUGUUAAUGACUUUGUUUUGUUCAUAAUUUCCCUGGGCUGGAUUUGAAUGACUCUAUAUCUUAUUACCCAUUCCCUGAGCUAUUCAAGUCUUUCAAAAUCUUUUAUUUCUGACCCAGGAGUGACACUGGACUCUACUGCCUGUAACCUCAGAAGCUCCAAGGCCAGUCAUGUUAACAAGAGGCUUUCAUACUGGAGUUAGUCUAAAACAGGGGUGAUCACAUAUUUCAGUUUAAAAAAAAAUGGGUAACUAACUAUAUGUAAACCCAUAGCAGUGGAAAAUAAAUGGCAGAAUGCAUGGGAUGCCUCCUUAAACCUCUAAGCAGCACACUAGUUAGUUGAAUUCAAAAUGGGUUCAGAUAAUUUACACUGGAUUCAGUCUACAGCCAGAAACUUCUAAACAUCAGGAAUGUUUUUCAAAAGUAUUAAAUUAAUGUUUUUUGUGAAUCAUCUCAUCAUUCUUCCUUUUGCAACAAAUAAUGUUUAUAUUAUAAUUCUCUUACAUCUUUGAAUUUUGCAGUUAGUGACACCACAACUGGAAAUCUAGUCAAUUUAACCCCCCAAAAAAGGUUUAAAGUAGUUUCAGGUAUUAUAUGGCUCCCUGAGUUCCCUCUAGGGAAUGCUUGGGGUCUUAUAAUCAUUUUCCUAUUGUUAAAAAUGUAUGUUGUUCUUGUGGCUGUGUGAAAAACUGACAAAAGCAAAAGGGGAAACAAAGGCCCUGAUCCUCUGGACACUUACUAGUGGGCAUAGGGUUUCUACUGUAAUCCAAUUGAAAUAAAGGGAUUAUUCACAGUAAUAAGCACUAAAUCUUAUAAAGUAUUUGCAGGAUUCAUAGGUUUCAAGGCCAGAAGGGACCAUCAUAAUCACCUACUCUGAACUGCUGUAUAACACAGGCUAUAGACCAUCACCCCGUAACUACUGUAUCAAGCCCGAGGAACAAGAAUCAGCCAUUAACCAAUCAUAGAGGGGAAACAGUAUCAUCUACUAUAUAUCAAGUGCUAUUAAAUGCAUAAACAAAUUGAAGAAACAGAGGGAAAAAUUCUAUUUAAAGGCACAGGGUCUUUGUUUACUCAUACAUAGGCUCUUUUUGAAGACAGCUGAUGCUGCAUCAGUUAACUUCAAAAAUGUGAAACACAUGUAAUCUCCACAACCAUAAGGACUGAGAACUUAAGUUUUGGCUUUAAAUAGGUCAGAUUGUGGAGCAAGGGGGUGAAUUCUGCAGCAAAUCUGGUAGUUAUGGGAUCGUGGAAUAUAUAGGGCCUGGAUAGUGACUAUAUGCCAAUAAGAAAGCACUUCUAGUCUUUAUAAUGUGAACUGUAUUUUGAACACAGAAAAUGUUGUAACGUCCUUAAUACACUAUGUUCUCUAUCAAACAAUUCCACUAGAUUUCAUUAUUUUAUAGUGCCAUAACUAUACACUUAGAAAAAGCCAUGGUUAAAUAAUCCUUGAUAGUCUGUCAGCCUCCAUAAAAGUUAAUUUUAUCAUCAAGUUAAACAUAGUUCUACAAUGAUAUUGUAAAAGGGGUUUAAAAUAUCCUAUUGCAGUUCAACAGAUUAUAAAUACAACUGAGUGGGUUGAUCUAUUUUAGAUAUCUAUUUUAUAUGGCCCCACCACCAUAGUAUCUGAGCGCCUCAUAAUCUUUACUGUAGUUUGCCUCACAACAUCCCUGAGAGAUAGGGGAAAAUCUAUAUUCCUCAUUUUACAGAUGGGGAAAUGAGGCCUAGGGAGACAGGAAGUCUGUGGUGCAGCAGGGAACUGAACCCCAGUCUCUGAGUCCCAGCUACUGCCCUAA
Molecule: long non-coding RNA, 2901 nt
Organism: Mauremys mutica (yellowpond turtle)
Lineage: Eukaryota; Metazoa; Chordata; Testudines; Geoemydidae
Exons: 4
Source: RefSeq, a predicted model, not a curated record